CCUACGGGAGGCAGCAGUGGGGAAUUUUGGACAAUGGGCGCAAGCCUGAUCCAGCAAUGCCGCGUGAGUGAAGAAGGCCUUCGGGUUGUAAAGCUCUUUUGUCAGGGAAGAAACGGUCUACUCUAAUACAGUGGGCUAAUGACGGUACCUGAAGAAUAAGCACCGGCUAACUACGUGCCAGCAGCCGCGGUAAUACGUAGGGUGCAAGCGUUAAUCGGAAUUACUGGGCGUAAAGCGUGCGCAGGCGGUUAUAUAAGUCAGAUGUGAAAUCCCCGGGCUCAACCUGGGAACUGCAUUUGAGACUGUAUGGCUAGAGUGUGUCAGAGGGGGGUAGAAUUCCACGUGUAGCAGUGAAAUGCGUAGAUAUGUGGAGGAAUACCGAUGGCGAAGGCAGCCCCCUGGGAUAACACUGACGCUCAUGCACGAAAGCGUGGGGAGCAAACAGGAUUAGAUACCCUGGUAGUCCACGCCCUAAACGAUGUCUACUAGUUGUCGGGACUUAAUUGUCUUGGUAACGCAGCUACGCGUGAGUAGACCGCCGUCGGGUAGGUACGGUCGCGAGAGUAAACGUACGAAGUAGAGUAGUACGGCGUAGAGAGUAGACCGACGGACGACGACGAGGGGAGGAGG
Molecule: ribosomal RNA, 630 nt
Filed under: uncultured bacterium
Lineage: Bacteria
Description: bacterial SSU rRNA
Rfam family: Bacterial small subunit ribosomal RNA (bases 1-540)
Source: RNAcentral